This 72-nucleotide transfer RNA is filed under the name Ovis aries (sheep). It matches the Rfam family "tRNA". Rfam says of the family: Transfer RNA (tRNA) molecules are approximately 80 nucleotides in length. The record is from Rfam by way of RNAcentral. Lineage: Eukaryota; Metazoa; Chordata; Mammalia; Artiodactyla; Bovidae.
UCCCUAGUGGUCCGGUGCUUAAGAUUCUGUGCUCCCAACGCAGGGACCCAGGUUCGAUUCCUGGUCAGGGAG